CAGUCGCCGCGGGAAUACGAAGGGUGCAAGCGUUAAUCGGAAUUACUGGGCGUAAAGCGUGCGUAGGCGGUGAGUUAAGACUGAUGUGAAAUCCCCGGGCUCAACCUGGGAACUGCAUUGGUGACUGCAACGCUGGAGUGCGGCAGAGGGGGAUGGAAUUCCGCGUGUAGCAGUGAAAUGCGUAGAUAUGCGGAGGAACACCGAUGGCGAAGGCAAUCCCCUGGGCCUGCACUGACGCUCAUGCACGAAAGCGUGGGGAGCAAACAGGAUUAGAUACCCCCGUAGUCCCUGUCUCUUAUAC
Molecule: ribosomal RNA, 301 nt
Filed under: uncultured bacterium
Lineage: Bacteria
Description: partial 16S ribosomal RNA
Rfam family: Bacterial small subunit ribosomal RNA
Source: RNAcentral